GACUCACUGGAGAGAGACUUCUACUAGAAAAAUUGCCUUGAUGUUAGGAAUUAAAAAAACAAAACAAAACAAAAAACAUGGAGCCGUAUUCUCCAGAAGCUUACAUCUGAUUUAACGAGACAGGAAAAGUGUUUUGGACUGAAUUGUUCUCUCUCCUCAUUAUCCUCCUUAAUGUGUGAAAGUCUCAAUGUAACUGUUGAUUACCUGCUCUCUAUUUCAUAAAGAGGAAAAACAGAUCCAGAGGACCAUUUCAUGAUUCAUCCUUUUUCAAAACGUUUCUUAAAACAUUAAAUAAAGUUUUAUUAUUGUAAACUGUUUA
Molecule: long non-coding RNA, 319 nt
Filed under: Homo sapiens (human)
Lineage: Eukaryota; Metazoa; Chordata; Mammalia; Primates; Hominidae
Description: HSALNT0352680
Source: RNAcentral